RNAcentral lists this non-coding RNA (154 nucleotides) under Homo sapiens (human). The record is from Rfam by way of RNAcentral. Lineage: Eukaryota; Metazoa; Chordata; Mammalia; Primates; Hominidae.
GCUGGGUGUGGUGGUGGGUGCCUGUAAUCCCCGCUACUCAGGAGGCUGAGGCAGGAGAAUCGCUUGAACCCAGGAGAUUCUCACUGAGAUUGCAGUGAGCGGAGAUCACGCCACUGCAUUCCAGCCUGGGUGACAGAGUGAGACUCUGUCUCAA